GAUGAACGCUAGCUACAGGCUUAACACAUGCAAGUCGAGGGGAAACGCCAUCGAAAGCUUGCUUUUGAUGGGCGUCGACCGGCGCACGGGUGAGUAACGCGUAUCCAACCUGCCCAUCACUUGGGAAUAACCUUGCGAAAGUAAGACUAAUACCCAAUGAUAUCCCACGAAGGCAUCGGAAUGGGAUUAAAGAUUUAUCGGUGAUGGAUGGGGAUGCGUCUGAUUAGCUUGUUGGCGGGGUAACGGCCCACCAAGGCAACGAUCAGUAGGGGUUCUGAGAGGAAGGUGCCCCACAUUGGGACUGAGACCCGGUCCAAACUCCUACGGGACGCAGCAGUGAGGAAUAUUGGACAAUGGGCGAGAGCCUGAUCCAGCCAAGUAGCGUGCAGGAAGGCGGCCCUAGGGGUUGUAAACUGCUUUUAGAAGGGAAUAAAGUGGGUCACGUGUGACUUUUUGCAUGUACCUGAUGAAUAAGGACCGGCUAAUUCCGUG
This 492-nucleotide ribosomal RNA is filed under the name uncultured bacterium. Its description in RNAcentral is "partial 16S ribosomal RNA". It matches the Rfam family "Bacterial small subunit ribosomal RNA", at positions 28 to 507 of the family's 1533-position model. The record is from RNAcentral.